Non-coding RNA from Myotis davidii, 75 nucleotides. The record is from Rfam. NCBI's taxonomy places the organism in Eukaryota, Metazoa, Chordata, Mammalia, Chiroptera, Vespertilionidae.
GAUGGUUCUCAGGUGACACACCCUGGAAUAUGGCUCCCUCUUCUCUGGUUCUGGGUGCAUCACCUGAGAACCACU